RNAcentral lists this ribosomal RNA (433 nucleotides) under uncultured bacterium. RNAcentral's name for it is "partial 16S ribosomal RNA". It matches the Rfam family "Bacterial small subunit ribosomal RNA", at positions 29 to 507 of the family's 1533-position model. The record is from RNAcentral.
AACGAACGCUGGCGGCAUGCCUAACACAUGCAAGUCGAACGAGACCUUCGGGUCUAGUUGCGCACGGGUGCGUAACGCGUGGGAACCUGCCCUUAGGUUCGGAAUAACUCCCCGAAAGGGGUGCUAAUACCGGUUAAUGUCUUCGGACCAAAGAUUUAUCGCCUUUGGAUGGGCCCGCGUUGGAUUAGCUAGUUGGUAGGGUAAAAGCCUACCAAGGCGACGAUCCAUAGCUGGUCUGAGAGGAUGAUCAGCCACACUGGGACUGAGACACGGCCCAGACUCCUACGGGAGGCAGCAGUGGGGAAUAUUGGGCGAUGGGCGAAAGCCUGAUCCAGCAAUGCCGCGUGAGUGAUGAAGGCCUUAGGGUUGUAAAGCUCUGUUACCCGGGAUGAUAAUGACAGUACCGGGAGAAUAAGCUCCGGCUAACUCCGUG